Molecule: long non-coding RNA, 2376 nt
Organism: Oryza sativa Japonica Group (Japanese rice)
Lineage: Eukaryota; Viridiplantae; Streptophyta; Magnoliopsida; Poales; Poaceae
Source: RefSeq, a predicted model, not a curated record
CCGCGAAGACCGCGCUUCUCCUCCUCCUCGCUCCUCCUCCCCGCGUCCUCGCAGGAGCUCCUCCCAGCUGCCGCCGCUCCUCCGCGUCCACACCAAAGCUGCCGCCGGGUCCUGCUUCUUCCCCACCGCCGCGGCCGUCCUCCUCGCUCGAUCCUCCUCCUCCCCGCUGCCGCCGCUCCGCCGCAUCCUCCCCGGAGCUCCGCCGGAUCCUGCUUCUCUCACUCGGAGCCGCCGCCGGAGCCGACCUCGGCCCCUUCCGCCGCCACCGAUACCGCCGUGCACUCCACUUGCCGCAUCCUCGCCGGAGCUCCGCCGGAUCCUGCUUCUCUCGGUGAAAUCAUUGCUGCUCGCCCAUCGCAUCCACCCGCUCCCAUCGGUUUCUUUCUUCCGCGGCAGAUCAAUCCCCUCCUUACUCACUGCCGCAGAUCAAUCCCCUUCGCACCCUCGCCCCUCACCAAUCGCCGCCGCAAUCUCCUCCGUCCCCAAGGCCGUCGUCUCCACCAUGCAAUCCCACUGUCUACUCUCCACCUUGCCGCCGGCGCCGCCUACCCCUUCCUCAUUCGCGCCUCAAGUCAGCCGGAAACGGAGCCAGGGUCGCCCACUCCCCCGGCUGGAGCUCCUUCCUCACAGCCCGCCGCAAUCCCCCCUGUCUCCUCUCCACCUCGCCGCCGGUGCCGCCUACCCCUGCCUCAUUUGUGCCUCAUGUCGGCCGGAAACGGAACCAGGGUGGUCCAUUCCCCAGUCCCCAGGCUGGAGUUGUCUCCUCGCAGCCCGUCGCUUCAGGUUCAUUAUUUGUUCUCCUCUACCCAUCUUUCCUUUUUGUGUACAAUUAUUUUUUGUCCAGAGCUCUUACCACUAUCUCCUAUCCUGUGGAUUAAGAUAAUUACAAUGGGUGUCGGAUUCACUUUUUUUUUUUUGCCAAGUGUCUGUAUGAUUUCUCUUAUCUUUCAGGCUUCAAGUGAAAAAUCAGAUCAACAAUCAUGCUAUUUGUCUUUAUUAUCUCCCGGCAAACGGCAUCUAAAUUCUCUAGCACAAACUGAUGUUUGUACUGGUGAUUUAUUAGUUUAAAUUUGAGGGAAUGAAUCAUUCGGAUUGUCUCUUGUACUGAAUGUGCUAUGGAUUAACUGAGGAUUCUGUCAGAUCGCAUAUUAACACUCUUCAUUGAGUAGCCAAAUAUCUCAAAUCAGUGUUCCAAUCAGUAGUUAUAUUUAAUAGACACUUCAAUCAGUCUCUACUAAAUGCAAGGAUAUCAAGCAUGUUUAUGGGAUAUGCUACAUUACUGCUCUGGGCUGAGUACAACAUUCCUAAGGAUCAUGUUACGGACUAGCUCUUUGAUUUUCUCAUGACUAUUUGGGUUCAGGGAAUCUAUUUGGGUUUGCUAAAAAAAAUGCAGUGCUCAAGCAAAUAUAUUUCUUCACAGCGCAGCUCCCGCAACAGUCCCACAAAGAUAUUCAGGUUGGACCUGGGGCCUGGGUGCAGAGAAGGAGAGGGCCGGCUCUAGGGCGUCGUUGGUUGGGAUCAAGUGCACAGGAGGAGGCUGGCAUGAAGGAGGCCUGGGUGCCUCAAACAAGGCCAUGAUAUGGUGAAUCCUAACAUUGAGGCAAACAUGCAAUGAGACACUUAGACGGUGACCAUUACAUGUAUUUGUUCCUCCGUUCCCUAGCUUGUGGCCUCGAAGCAUCAAGGGUGCUGCCUCGACAACGUCUCAACCACUGGCACAGCCGAUCUCCCAUGCCCAGAUCAUUGCAAAGAGCUUCUCCGCAUUGUGAUCACCUCCUUCCUUGAAGGCUAUAGCUCUUUUCUCUGGAAUCAACUGGAAUCAUGACCGACCACUUGAGCAGCCCAUUGUUUAUAAUAUGUUUCUUAUAAGAGAAAAUUCAUAAAAUGCCAACGACAAACGCCUCAUUCUGCUGAACACCUAUGUUCUGUUCGGCGAAAUAUAUAACCAGGCAACAUGACAUUGACUUUCUUCAUGUAUACAUCUGUUUUUUUAUUUCCAUUUCUGAUGAUUACUAUGAUGUAUUACUAUUUCUUAUGAUUAUGAAUAUAUUGAAAUGGAUUAUAACAUGGAAUAAAAUCUUUUUAGUAUUUAUGAGGCUUUUACAUUUAAAAUUCAGGCUGUAAUAUGUAAUAUAAAAGUAAUACACUAGAAGAAUUUAUAUGGAGUGUAUUGCAUAAAAACGAUUAUAUAGAUUCUUCUUCGUUUGCUAAUAUAUAUUGUCAAAACGUGCCUUGCACGUGCACGAUAACUAGUAAACUAAAAUGAACCACAUUUCAUCAAUCACUACAAUCAUCUAUCACAAAAUUCAUUAAUGCACCACAUUUCAUCGCAACAUCCGCAUGUCAUUACUCACAGUUCAUCAUUCAUCUAUUCAU